This 1167-nucleotide long non-coding RNA is filed under the name Homo sapiens (human). RNAcentral's name for it is "HSALNT0389369". Lineage: Eukaryota; Metazoa; Chordata; Mammalia; Primates; Hominidae. The record is from RNAcentral.
GCAAGGGAGCAACAGGGCUGAGGAGAUACCUGUUCUCCCAGUUUCACGGCCAGUACAAGGCCAUUCUUACACUGCUCGGGGGAGCCCCUCAGGAGAAGACACAUUUAAGAGUUUCCAGCAAGAAGAGUCAGGUCAUGCAGUCAGCUGCUUUCUCAGCCCAGCUGUGGGAAUGUAAACAAGUUUCUAACCUCAUUGAAUCUUAGGUUCCCUGUUUGGAAACAGAUGAGAUCCACAACAGCCAUUAUCUUAUUGGAUGGUUGUUGUAUGGCAGGGGCUGUACUGAAGAGUCACACACAUUACUUAGUCUUCCCAACAAUCCUGCAAGAUAUAGAACCUUGACAUGUUUCUCAGGCUGGUCUGAAACUCCUGGGGCUCAAGCGAUCCACCUGCCUCCACCUCUCAAAGUGCUGAGAUUACAGAAAAUGAAAGGAAUUGAAAUUAAGACAAGGGAGAGAUUGAAGAGUGGAAAGGAGAAAGUGGUUGAGGAACAGUGAGAGAAGUUGGAGAAGAAAGUAAGAAGAGGCCGCUUACCUGAUUUAAAAUUGGGAUGAUGCAUCUGAGAGCUCAAUGCAUGUCGGUGAUGAUGAAGGUGAAGAUGCUGUGAGUGAUGAUGAGGAGGAGGAGGAGGAUGUAAUUGAAGGAGCUUGGGCUUUGCCAUCAGUACAGCUGAGUUAAAAUGGCCUAUGGUUCAUCCUGCAAUAUCAGAGAAUACACAACUGUUGGAAGCUCAUUUGUGCAGAAGCACUAGUUAGACCAAGUCCCAGGAUGGUGGGGACUUGAACUGCCUCAUGCACAUUGUACCCAAGAGCCUGGCCCAUGAAGGUGAAUCAGUGGAUACUUGAAUAAAAAGAAGAAUAUGCGCUGAAGUUUUCUUUGAGGACAUUUUUUUUUCUUUCCAUAGUUUUGAGCAUCUCUGAUGUUUUGAGAUUUCUGCCAGUCUUUGAGGAUGUAAUGCUCAAUUAGACUUGUUCUCUGUCCUCAAAGAGCUUAUAUAAUAGUUAGUGAGCUAAUUCUCCUGUUUUGAGAGACAGGAGAAAAUGUUAUGUUAUAAUGAGUCAUUCAGACUCUAUCUACUAGGCCUGACUUUGUUACUUUUUAAAAAGCAUUCUUCCACUCCUGCUUGGAUAUCUCUGUAUACAAGACUCAGAGACACGUAUGACGCCCCUU